AGGUGGUGAUGCCAUGGCAGGACAGCUCCACCGCAUCCAGCAGGGAGUAUCUUUAAUUGUGGGAACUCCUGGAAGGCUCAUUGACCUUUUAACGAAACACGAGAUUGAACUGGAUACUAUUUCAAUUCUUGUUCUUGAUGAAGUUGAUUGCAUGCUCCAAAGAGGUUUCCGUGAGCAGGUGAUGCAGAUUUUUACAGCUCUGUCUCAACCUCAAGUGUUAA
RNAcentral lists this unclassified non-coding RNA (221 nucleotides) under Hevea brasiliensis (rubber tree). Lineage: Eukaryota; Viridiplantae; Streptophyta; Magnoliopsida; Malpighiales; Euphorbiaceae. The record is from RNAcentral.